UACGUAGGCGGAAGAUUAAGUCAGUGGUGAAAUCCUGCAGCUUAACUGUAGAACUGUCAUUGAUACUGGUUUUAUUGAAUUUAGUUGAGGUAGACGGAAUGUGUAAUGUAGCGGUGAAAUGCUUAGAUAUUACACAGAACACCGAUUGCGAAGGCAGCUUACUAAACUAUGAUUGACGCUGAGGUACGAAAGCGUGGGGAGCGAACAGGAUUAGAUACCCUGGUAGUCC
This 229-nucleotide ribosomal RNA is filed under the name uncultured bacterium. RNAcentral describes it as "partial 16S ribosomal RNA". It matches the Rfam family "Bacterial small subunit ribosomal RNA", at positions 568 to 796 of the family's 1533-position model. The record is from RNAcentral.